Non-coding RNA from Cicer arietinum (chickpea), 4503 nucleotides. Lineage: Eukaryota; Viridiplantae; Streptophyta; Magnoliopsida; Fabales; Fabaceae. The record is from RefSeq and is a predicted model, not a curated record.
UCAUUCUCAAUGUAGCUGGUCGCGGUGUUUUGGUUUCUUAUAAUCUUUCUCUCGUUUGUUCUUCAUUCUCUAUUCUUGCAUUCUGGUGAUUGUUGAUAUCGAUUACAUGAUUCCGAACUUUGCUGGUCUUGUUCUUGAUACUUGUAACCCGAUUGUUUCCUUUCUAUAUGGAAUUCAGAUUUUUAGAUUCUUAUUUUUGUCAUCUGAUACAUCUUAAUUGGGGGUUUGAUUAUGAUAUGACGAAGACUCUAAGAAAUCGACACUUCUUCUUUCGAUUGUUUUGAUAUUAUUCUUUCGAAAUUAUUGCUUAAUUGUUAGGGUUUCUUUAUCAGUUUUCUGUUCCAAGGUGUUGCCUAUUCAAGAUCGGAUCAUAGAAGUUUUACAAUUCUUGAUUCAAAGGAUUAAACACGGCUUAUUGUUAGGCACGUGGUGCAUCAAAAUAAUAACGGCACAGUGUUGAGCCAGCUCCACCGCCACCGCCUUGAGUUUGAUUUGCUGAUCUCUACACGGAAUAUCAUGAGUUCUUUUCGUUUAUACUCUUUGUCGGUUCUAAGUGUCUAGUUUUAUGGACUUUGUGAUUUUUCCUUUGGUGUUCUAGGAGAGGUAAUCUAUGAACUCUUGGUCACACAUGGAAGCUAUGGUGGAGACCCAUUCUGCUUUAGGUUUAAAUGCAAUCAAGACAACGUUUCUUUUUGUUCAAUUUAUUCAUCUCUAUUUGAUUUAUGGAUGGACUUCUUGUUUUUCAAUCUUUCAAUUCUGAUUGAUUAGUUUUUGUCGUUUGCUUCCCUUUUGUGAUUUCUUCAUGGGUGUUACAGGGUAUGAAUGUUGGUGGGAUGUGGUAGCUUUUGAAGAAUAACAAUCUUGGUCUCCAACCAUGGGAAUAAAAUCACUCUUUUUAUUUGUUUUUGUUAUUUAUGAAUAUUUUUAAGAUUUGGCUUCUUGACAGUGAGAACUGAAUGUUGUGGUCGUUGUGUUUUUCUGUAGAGUUAUAUAUAUUUCCUAUGGCAGGAUGGGGGAUUUUGGACGGUCAUGGCUGGGCUCUUUAUUCCUGCCUCUUGGUUUGGAUAAAUUUGCAACUCUUUUACUUUUCAUCGGAAGUUUUUGAUGGUGUUGAUCUAUGAAUGAUCUCUUCUCUCCUAAUUAAAUAUCAUCUUGGUUACAGUGGUACAUGAGACCUGCCUUUGGAGUUUGGUUAAAUUGUCACUUUUAUAUAUUGAGCACUGCAGUCUACAAUCAUCACAAUUGAAGUUGGAAUUUUGAAGGGAUUUUAUCAGACAAUAACAUGAACAGCUUAGGAUUAUUUUACUUUGACGAGUUUGUUUGUCUUUUUUCUUUCUUGAAUGUUUGCACAUAUGAAUUAAAUUGUGCACUUGUUUUUGUGCAGUUAAGUGUUUGAGAGCAACAUUACAUGAUAAAUCUAGCUUCAUGCACAAUUAUGGCGACACUUUCCUGGAGUUUGAAUUCUUGGUUCUUUGACAUAUUUCUCUUCCAUUUCACGAUUUUGAAGUCUGAUUUUUUGUGAAUUAUUGAAUAUAACGGGUUUGGUAUCAUCAGUUUGUGUGUGUUUAUUGUCUUGCCUCUUUAUCAGUUAUUACUUGAUAAUACUUAUCACUUAUCCACUAUCAAUUAUCACUUAUCACUUAUUAGUUAUCACUUUUUACUUAUCAACUAUCACUCAAAAGGCUAAGAAUUACUUGUGCUCAAGUGUAAGAGUGUUUUAAGAUUCUUGAUUUGGAAGGCUAAGAAUGGCAAAUGGUUUUGGAUUAAUCUAAUUUAUUCUAUAUUACUUUUAUUUUUCUGUCUAUGGUUUUAACACCAGUCAUACACAUUGUAUUGUUAACCUGUUUUUCAGCAGCGUAGGGUAUUAUAACAGUAACAUCCUUCAUAGUGUUCAGCCUUGAUUUGUUGCUCUCAACUGUAUUUCAUGAAUUCUUUUCAUAUCAAUAUUUCUUUGAUGAUUCUAAUUAUCUAGUUACCUAAAUUUGUGAUUUUUAUUUUGGUGUUAUAGGAGAGAUAACAUAUGAACACGCAGUGGCACAUGGAAACUAUGGCAUAGAUUGUCAAGGACUUCCUGUUCAGCUUUAUGUUUUUAAACACAAUCAAGACAAAAAUUCUUUUCAUUCAAUAUGAUUAUCUCUAUUUGGACUGUGGAUUUGGGUUUCCAGUCUUCCUUAUCAAUUUCGAGUGUUUAGUUUUAUCAAAUCAUUCCUUUUUGUGAUUUCUUCUUGGGUGUUACAGGGUUAUGUUGGUGGGGUGUUGUGGCUGUGGUUGAAGAUUAAGAUCUUGGUUUUCGACAACCUUGGGAAUAAAAUCAUUUUUUCUAGAUUGGUUGUCCUUAUGUCUUGAGAUUUGAUUUCUUGACAGUGUGAACUGGAAUGUGGGUGUCUUUGUGUUUUCCACAGGUUUCUGUACAUGUUAGAUAAUAUUUCCUAUCUCAGCCGCAGAUAAUUUAGGACAACAAGGUUUAUGUACAUGUUAGAUAAUAUUUCCUAUCUCAGCGGCGGAUAAUUUAGGACAGCAAGGUUGGGCUCUUUGUUCCUGCCUCUUUGUUUGGAAAAUUUUGCUACCUAUACAUUGGAAUAUUUUUUAUCAUGUUGAACUACAGGAAUCUCUCUCCUCCCUAAUCUUCUUCCUAACCUGCCUUUGCGUUAGAAGUUGAUGAAAUUGUCUGUAAAAUAUAUUGAGCACUGCUAUUUGCAAUCAACAUAAUUGAAGUUGGAAUUUUCAAGGGAUAUUAUCAGAUAACAUCUAAAGAUCAUUUAACUUGUUUUAGGAGUUUGGUUUCUUUUUUCUGGUUUCUGAUGGAUUACACAUUUGAAUAAACUAGUGCAAUUUGUUUUUGUGCAGUUGAGUGUUCGAAUAUUGUUGGGCAACAUUUUAUGAAGACGUUAGCUUCAUGCAUAAUUAUGGUGACCUUUUCUAGUUUUCACCGUUCCUACUUCUUUUCUUUUCACCAUUUCUUUAUCAGUUUUCUGUUCAGGGUUUCUAGCUUCAUGCAUAAUUGUUAGGGUUUCUUUAUCAGUUUUCUGUUCCAAGGUGUUGCCUAUUCAAGAUCGGAUCAUUAAAGUUUUACAAUUCUUGAUUCAUAGGAUUAAACACGGCUUAUUGUUAGGGUUUCGUCAUCAGUCUUCUGUAUCACUUAUUCUUUCUGGCUAUGGUCACAACGCAAGACAUUAAUGUCGAUUGUUACCCUGUUUUUCUGCAGCGCGUGGUGCAUCAAAAUAAUAACGGCACAGUGUUGAGCCACCGCCACCGCCUUGAGUUUGAUUUGCUGAUCUCUACACGGAAUAUCAUGAGUUCUUUUCGUUUAUAUGUCUCUUUGUCGGUUCUAAGUGUCUAGUUUUAUGGACUUUGUGAUUUUUCCUUUGGUGUUCUAGGAGAGGUAAUCUAUGAACUCUUGGUCACACAUGGAAGCUAUGGUGGAGACCCAUUCUGCUUUAGGUUUAAAUGCAAUCAAGACAACGUUUCUUUUUGUUCAAUUUAUUCAUCUCUAUUUGAUUUAUGGAUGGACUUCUUGUUUUUCAAUCUUUCAAUUCUGAUUGAUUAGUUUUUGUCGUUUGCUUCCCUUUUGUGAUUUCUUCAUGGGUGUUACAGGGUAUGAAUGUUGGUGAGAUGUGGUAGCUUUUGAAGAAUAACAAUCUUGGUCUCCAACCAUUGAACUACAGGAAUCUCUCUCCUCCCUAAUCUUCUUCCUAACCUGCCUUUGCGUUAGAAGUUGAUGAAAUUGUCUGUAAAAUAUAUUGAGCACUGCUAUUUGCAAUCAACAUAAUUGAAGUUGGAAUUUUCAAGGGAUAUUAUCAGAUAACAUCUAAAGAUCAUUUAACUUGUUUUAGGAGUUUGGUUUCUUUUUUCUGGUUUCUGAUGGAUUACACAUUUGAAUAAACUAGUGCAAUUUGUUUUUGUGCAGUUGAGUGUUCGAAUAUUGUUGGGCAACAUUUUAUGAAGACGUUAGCUUCAUGCAUAAUUAUGCGCGUGGUGCAUCAAAAUGAUAACGGCACAGUGUUGAGCCACCGCCACUGCCUUGAGUUUGAUUUGCUGAUCUCUACACGGAAUAUCAUGAGUUCUUUUUGUUUAUAUGUCUCUUUGUCGGUUCUAAGUGUCUAGUUUUAUGGACUUUGUGAUUUUUCCUUUGGUGUUCUAGGAGAGGUAAUCUAUGAACUCUUGGUCACACAUGGAAGCUAUGGUGGAGACCCAUUCUGCUUUAGGUUUAAAUGCAAUCAAGACAACGUUUCUUUUUGUUCAAUUUAUUCAUCUCUAUUUGAUUUAUGGAUGGACUUCUUGUUUUUCAAUCUCUAUUCUGAUUGAUUAGUUUUUGUCGUUUGCUUCCCUUUUGUGAUUUCUUCAUGGGUGUUACAGGGUAUGAAUGUUGGUGAGAUGUGGUAGCUUUGAAGAAUAACAAUCUUGGUCUCCAACCAUUGAACUACAGGAAUCUCUCUCCUCCCUAAUCUUCUUCCUAACCUGCCUUUGCGUUAGAAGUUGAUGAAAUUGUCUGUAAAAUAUAUU